CCCUUAGAUGUUCUGGGCCGCACACGCGCUACACUGAAGGAGGCAGCGUGUACUCCUGGAUCGAAAGAUUUGGGUAACCCGCGAAUCUCCUUCGUGCUAGGGCUUGAGGUUUGCAAUUAUCCUUCAUGAACGAGGAAUUCCCAGUAAGUGCAAGUCAUAAGCUUGCGCUGACUACGUCCCUGCCCUUUGUACACACCGCCCGUCGCUACUACCGAUUGAAUGAUUUAGUGAGGACUUCGGACUGGGACCGAUGCGGCUUUCGGGCUGCGUCGGUAUUCUGGAAAGAUGUCCAAACUGUAUCAUUUAGAGGAAGUAAAAGUCGUAACA
RNAcentral lists this ribosomal RNA (327 nucleotides) under uncultured eukaryote. RNAcentral's name for it is "partial 18S ribosomal RNA". It matches the Rfam family "Eukaryotic small subunit ribosomal RNA", at positions 1470 to 1796 of the family's 1831-position model. The record is from RNAcentral.